UCUUGACAUCUACAGGAUCCUGCGGAGACGCGGGAGUGCCUUCGGGAACUGUAAGACAAGUGCUGCAUGGCUGUCGUCAGCUCGUGUUGUGAAAUGUUGGGUUAAGUCCCGCAACGAGCGCAACCCUUAUCCUUGUUUGCCAGCGAGUAAUGUCGGGAACUCCAGGGAGACUGCCGGUGAUAAACCGGAGGAAGGUGGGGACGACGUCAAGUCAUCAUGGCCCUUACGAGUAGGGCUACACACGUGCUACAAUGGCGCAUACAGAGGGCGGCGAGCUAGCGAUAGUGAGCGAAUCCCAAAAAGUGCGUCGUAGUCCGGAUUGGAGUCUGCAACUCGACUCCAUGAAGUCGGAAUCGCUAGUAAUCGUGGAUCAGAAUGCCACGGUGAAUACGUUCCCGGGCCUCGUACACACCGCCCGUCACACCAUGGGAGUGGGCUGCAAAAGAAGCAGGUAGUUUAACCUUCGGGAGGACGCUUGCCACUUUGUGGUUCAUGACUGGGGGAAAGUCGUAACAAGGUAACCACUUUCCC
RNAcentral lists this ribosomal RNA (531 nucleotides) under uncultured bacterium. RNAcentral's name for it is "bacterial SSU rRNA". It matches the Rfam family "Bacterial small subunit ribosomal RNA", at positions 979 to 1533 of the family's 1533-position model. The record is from RNAcentral.